AGUGAACGCUGGCGGUAGGCCUAACACAUGCAAGUCGAACGGCAGCACAGUAAGAGCUUGCUCUUACGGGUGGCGAGUGGCGGACGGGUGAGGAAUACAUCGGAAUCUACUUUUUCGUGGGGGAUAACGUAGGGAAACUUACGCUAAUACCGCAUACGACCUACGGGUGAAAGCAGGGGAUCUUCGGACCUUGCGCGAUUGAAUGAGCCGAUGUCGGAUUAGCUAGUUGGCGGGGUAAAGGCACACCAAGGCGACGAUCCGUAGCUGGUCUGAGAGGAUGAUCAGCCACACUGGAACUGAGACACGGUCCAGACUCCUACGGGAGGCAGCAGUGGGGAAUAUUGGACAAUGGGCGCAAGCCUGAUCCAGCCAUACCGCGUGGGUGAAGAAGGCCUUCGGGUUGUAAAGCCCUUUUGUUGGGAAAGAAAAGCAGCAUGUUAAUACCCCGCUGUUCUGACGGUACCCAAAGAAUAAGCACCGGCUAACUUCGUG
This 492-nucleotide ribosomal RNA is filed under the name uncultured bacterium. RNAcentral describes it as "partial 16S ribosomal RNA". It matches the Rfam family "Bacterial small subunit ribosomal RNA", at positions 29 to 507 of the family's 1533-position model. The record is from RNAcentral.